RNAcentral lists this ribosomal RNA (253 nucleotides) under uncultured bacterium. Its description in RNAcentral is "partial 16S ribosomal RNA". It matches the Rfam family "Bacterial small subunit ribosomal RNA", at positions 524 to 776 of the family's 1533-position model. The record is from RNAcentral.
GACGGACCGUCCGAACGUUAUUCGGAAUUACUGGGCUUAAAGGGUGCGUAGGCGGUGCGGAAAGUUGGGUGUGAAAUCCCUUGGCUUAACCAAGGAACUGCGCCCAAAACUACCGUGCUCGAGGAAGGUAGAGGUGAGCGGAACAUCGGGUGGAGCGGUGAAAUGCGUUGAUAUCCGAUGGAACACCGGCGGCGAAAGCGGCUCACUGGACCUUUUCUGACGCUGAGGCACGAAAGCCAGGGUAGCGAACGGG